AGCCAACCCUUAUCCACCUCCUGCCCUCAAAUUUUGAAACACCGAAAGAUCCAUUUCCUACAACAUAACAGAGUUUAGGAAACUUAACCCCCCACACUUUGAAGGUAGCCCUGAUCCUACGGAUAGAGAAGCUCUUUUCUGUUCCAAAUUUGACUGAGGAACAUAAAGUUCCCCAUGAAGUCUUCAUGCUAAACGGCGAAGUAGAAAGUGGGUGGCAACUUAAAAAGGAAGUCCUGCCUACCCCUAUCACUUAGGAAGUUUUCAUGGAUGCAUUCUUUGAUAACUUCUUCCCUGCAUAUGUCUGAAAAAAGAAGGAGGAGGAAUUUCAGGACCUCUGCCAAAGGAGUCUAACGGCUGCCCAGUAUACAGCCUGUUUUGUUCAACUGUCUAAGUU
Molecule: long non-coding RNA, 394 nt
Filed under: Carica papaya (papaya)
Lineage: Eukaryota; Viridiplantae; Streptophyta; Magnoliopsida; Brassicales; Caricaceae
Description: long non-coding RNA (CPAP_LNC012412)
Source: RNAcentral